UACGAAGGGGGCUAGCGUUGCUCGGAAUCACUGGGCGUAAAGGGUGCGUAGGCGGGUCUUUAAGUCAGGGGCGAAAUCCUGGAGCUCAACUCCAGAACUGCCUUUGAUACUGAGGAUCUUGAGUCCGGGAGAGGUGAGUGGAACUGCGAGUGUAGAGGUGAAAUUCGUAGAUAUUCGCAAGAACACCAGUGGCGAAGGCGGCUCACUGGCCCGGUACUGACGCUGAGGUGCGAAAGCGUGGGGAGCAAACAGG
Molecule: ribosomal RNA, 253 nt
Filed under: uncultured bacterium
Lineage: Bacteria
Description: partial 16S ribosomal RNA
Rfam family: Bacterial small subunit ribosomal RNA
Source: RNAcentral